Molecule: long non-coding RNA, 804 nt
Filed under: Numida meleagris (helmeted guineafowl)
Lineage: Eukaryota; Metazoa; Chordata; Aves; Galliformes; Numididae
Description: lncRNA (ENSNMEG00000015611.1)
Source: RNAcentral
GUUGUUUUCAUCAGAGGAGGUAGGAGGGAAAAACAAGCAGCACAGCAAGCAACGCAGGUUCCCAGUACCCACACAGGGAUCAGGAGAGCCCACUAGCCUGCUCCCAGCUUCAACUCCAGCUCUGCAUCCAUCUCCUCCUUCCAGCCUGACAGCCAUCUCUGUAGAAAAUUAAGAGCCUAAAGUUAAGCAGCAAAACUGAAUUAAAAGCAAGUUGUAGACCUGACAUGAAGUUUUAGGAGGCUCAUGGCAGGCUGGAUGGACCCCGUCAUAGACAAUGCUAUGUCGAAGGAAGUAAACUGUGCACGUUGGAUGCUGUCCCAACAGCACACCCACCUUUAUCUUGAAGUCCAGUUCUUUCAUACCAACUCAACAACAUAUCUUGCACGUCUGACAGAAAGCAGUCAAGAAGAAACAGUGUGCACGGUGCUGGAGGACAGAAGGUACAGCUGAGUUCAAGAUGUACAGAAGUCAGGAACUCACAGUAAUACAGUAGAAAUGUUGUUCGUACCCAAUGCUUCCAGUUAUUGCAUCCAGAACUGUUUUCCUUCUGCCAUUUGUGUAAAUAUGCUGUCUGCAUGAGAUUCUGCAAAUAUGCCAAAAUAGCCAGGAGAGUCUGAGGUGAUUUAUGGUUUAUCGUGCCAUAUGGAGCAUGUAUAUGUUUGCAGAAAGGGGAAGAAUGUUUCAAAGAUCACAGAAGGGUGUUUCCUAGGAUGAUUCAGGGCUUGAUGCUGUAUGAAAGGUUUUUGGAAAUUUUCACCCCAUUUUAAAGGUCUCAGCUGCCACUCAAGCUGAAUUAGAUCUGUU